RNAcentral lists this transfer RNA (71 nucleotides) under Cymus sp. RNAcentral describes it as "tRNA-Lys". It matches the Rfam family "tRNA". From Rfam's summary of the family: Transfer RNA (tRNA) molecules are approximately 80 nucleotides in length. Their secondary structure includes four short double-helical elements and three loops (D, anti-codon, and T loops). Further hydrogen bonds mediate the characteristic L-shaped molecular structure. tRNAs have two regions of fundamental functional importance: the anti-codon, which is responsible for specific mRNA codon recognition, and the 3' end, to which the tRNAs corresponding amino acid is attached (by aminoacyl-tRNA synthetases). tRNAs cope with the degeneracy of the genetic code in two manners: having more than one tRNA (with a specific anti-codon) for a particular amino acid; and 'wobble' base-pairing, i.e. permitting non-standard base-pairing at the 3rd anti-codon position. The record is from RNAcentral. Lineage: Eukaryota; Metazoa; Arthropoda; Insecta; Hemiptera; Cymidae.
CAUUAAGUGGCUGAAUAUUCAAGCAUUGGUCUCUUAAACCAAAUCAUAGUAAAUAAUAAAUACUCUUAAUG